Molecule: ribosomal RNA, 497 nt
Filed under: uncultured bacterium
Lineage: Bacteria
Description: partial 16S ribosomal RNA
Rfam family: Bacterial small subunit ribosomal RNA
Source: RNAcentral
GAUGAACGCUGGCGGCGUGCCUAAUACAUGCAAGUCGAGCGAACGGACGAGAAGCUUGCUUCUCUGAUGUUAGCGGCGGACGGGUGAGUAACACGUGGAUAACCUACCUAUAAGACUGGGAUAACUUCGGGAAACCGGAGCUAAUACCGGAUAAUAUUUUGAACCGCAUGGUUCAAAAGUGAAAGACGGUCUUGCUGUCACUUAUAGAUGGAUCCGCGCUGCAUUAGCUAGUUGGUAAGGUAACGGCUUACCAAGGCAACGAUGCAUAGCCGACCUGAGAGGGUGGUCGGCCACACUGGAACUGAGACACGGUCCAGACUCCUACGGGAGGCAGCAGUAGGGAAUCUUCCGCAAUGGGCGGAAGCCUGACGGAGCAACGCCGCGUGAGUGAUGAAGGUCUUCGGAUCGUAAAACUCUGUUAUUAGGGAAGAACAUAUGUGUAAGUAACUGUUCACAUCUUGACGGUACCUAAUCAGAAAGCCACGGCUAACUACGUG